AACACUGUUAACCUGCGGUACCUGCGGAAGGAUCAUUACCGAGUUUACAACUCCCAAACCCCUGUGAACAUACCUAUACGUUGCCUCGGCGGAUCAGCCCGCGCCCUGUAAAAAGGGACGGCCCGCCCGAGGACCCUAAACUCUGUUUUUAGUGGAACUUCUGAGUAAAACAAACAAAUAAAUCAAAACUUUCAACAAUGGAUCU
This 205-nucleotide unclassified non-coding RNA is filed under the name soil metagenome. RNAcentral describes it as "partial contains 5.8S ribosomal RNA, internal transcribed spacer 2, and large subunit ribosomal RNA". The record is from RNAcentral.